CCAGCAUCAGGGUCUUUUCCAGCGAAUUGACUCUUCCCAUCAGGCGGCCAAAGUAUUGGAGUUUCAGCUUCAGCAUCAGUCCUUCCAGUGAAUAUCCAGGACUUGAUUUCCUUUAGGAUGGACUGGUUUGAUCUCCUUGCAGUCCAAGGGACUCUCAAGAGUCUUCUCUGAUACCACAG
Long non-coding RNA from Cervus elaphus (red deer), 179 nucleotides. RefSeq lists it as uncharacterized. The record is from RefSeq and is a predicted model, not a curated record. The transcript has 3 exons. Lineage: Eukaryota; Metazoa; Chordata; Mammalia; Artiodactyla; Cervidae.